Molecule: long non-coding RNA, 814 nt
Organism: Oreochromis aureus
Lineage: Eukaryota; Metazoa; Chordata; Actinopteri; Cichliformes; Cichlidae
Source: Ensembl
GUCAAGUUUAAAGGUGUAAAAACAAGUACAGGAUAUUUACAAUAAGCAGACCUCAGUGCAAGAAAGUGUCUUUCCAACACUGAAAAGGUCAAAGGUCAACUUUAAAGGUGUAAAAACAAGUACAGGAUAUUUACAAUAAGCAGACCUCAGUGCAAGAAAGUGUCUUUCCAACACUGAAAAGGUCAAAGGUCAAGUUUAAAGGUGUAAAAACAAGUACAGGAUAUUUACAAUAAGCAGACCUCAGUGCAAGAAAGUGUCUUUCCAACACUGAAAAGGUUAAAGGUCAAGUUUAAAGGUGUAAAAACAAGUACAGGAUAUUUACAAUAAGCAGACCUCAGUGCAAGAAAGUGUCUUUCCAACACUGAAAAGGUCAAAGGUCAACUUUAACAUUAAAAGGUGUAAAAACAAGUACAAGAUAUUUACAAUGAGCAGACCUCAGUGCAAGAAAGUGUCUUUCCAACACUGAAAAGGUCAAAGGUCAACUUUAAAGGUGUAAAAACAAGUACAAGAUAUUUACAAUAAGCAGACCUCAGAGCAAGAAAGUGUCUUUCCAACACUGAAAAGGUCAAAGGUCAAAGGUCAACGUUAACAUUAAAAGGUGUAAAAACAAGUACAAGAUAUUUACAAUAAGCAGACCUCAGAGCAAGAAAGUGUCUUUCCAACACUGAAAAGGUCAAAGGUCAACUUUAAAGGUGUAAAAACAAGUACAAGAUAUUUACAAUAAGCAGACCUCAGAGCAAGAAAGUGUCUUUCCAACACUGAAAAGGUCAAAGGUCAACUUUAAAGGUGUAAAAACAAGUACAAGAUAUUAACA